GUGGGGAAUCUUCCGCAAUGGACGAAAGUCUGACGGAGCAACGCCGCGUGAGUGAAGAAGGUUUUCGGAUCGUAAAGCUCUUUCGUUAGGGACGAACGUGCUCUUUGUGAAUAAUGAUGAGUAAUGACGGUACCUAAAUAAGAAGCCACGGCUAACUACGUGCCAGCAGCCGCGGUAAUACGUAGGUGGCAAGCGUUGUCCGGAAUUAUUGGACGUAAAGCGCGCGCAGGCGGGAUAUCAAGUCUGUCUUAAAAGUGCGAGGCUCAACCUCGUGAGGGGACAGAAACUGGUAUUCUUGAGUGUCGGAGAGGAAAGUGGAAUUCCAAGUGUAGCGGUGAAAUGCGUAGAGAUGUGGAAGAACACCAGUGGCGAAGGCGACUUUCUGGACGAUGUCUGACGCUGAGGCGCGAAAGCUAGGGGAGCGAACGGGAUUAGAUACCCUGGUAGUCC
RNAcentral lists this ribosomal RNA (450 nucleotides) under uncultured bacterium. RNAcentral describes it as "partial 16S ribosomal RNA". It matches the Rfam family "Bacterial small subunit ribosomal RNA", at positions 354 to 796 of the family's 1533-position model. The record is from RNAcentral.